This 133-nucleotide small nucleolar RNA is filed under the name Hippocampus comes (tiger tail seahorse). RNAcentral describes it as "Small nucleolar RNA SNORA75 (ENSHCOG00000010217.1)". Lineage: Eukaryota; Metazoa; Chordata; Actinopteri; Syngnathiformes; Syngnathidae. The record is from RNAcentral.
ACCUUCUCAUGAGCUCCUGACAAUCUUGCCAUGAUUGUGUAUGGAUUCGCACGAGAAGCAGAGCCAGUGCACAGUUUGAACAGCCUCACCGCAGUCCCAUGAGGUUACUGGCCAUGUCUGCUGUGCUAAAAGU